UUUCAUAAUGAACUAUAAUUUAACUUAUACAAGUGAGUAUUAUGCAUUACAGAUCACUAUCCAUGAUUUGAGGGUAGGUAGCUACGUUGCGCCUUCUGUGAACAAACAUGUAAAAGGUUUUCAUAGAUCAACAGAUGGCGAAAUCUAGCAGAGCUAUUCAACCGAUGAUUUGAUGUUAAUUACACAAAAUUUACAAGUUGAGCUAAAAAAAACAAUACUUGAAAGUUACAAAAUAGCAAAAUACAAAGAAAAGGAAACAAGUCGAAGUUACAAGAACCACAACAUUAAAACUAUGAGACAAUCUCUUGUAAUAAUAAAAACUUCAGUACAA
Harmonia axyridis is the source of this 331-nucleotide long non-coding RNA. RefSeq lists it as uncharacterized. The transcript has 2 exons. The record is from RefSeq and is a predicted model, not a curated record. NCBI's taxonomy places the organism in Eukaryota, Metazoa, Arthropoda, Insecta, Coleoptera, Coccinellidae.